UGGGGAAUAUUGCACAAUGGGCGCAAGCCUGAUGCAGCCAUGCCGCGUGUAUGAAGAAGGCCUUCGGGUUGUAAAGUACUUUCAGCGGGGAGGAAGGCGAUUAGGCUAAUAAGCUUGUGGUUUGACGUUACCCGCAGAAGAAGCACCGGCUAACUCCGUGCCAGCAGCCGCGGUAAUACAGAGGGUGCAAGCGUUAAUCGGAAUUACUGGGCGUAAAGCGCGCGCAGGCGGUUUGUUAAGUUGGAUGUGAAAUCCCCGGGCUCAACCUGGGAACUGCAUUCAAAACUGGCUGGCUAGAGUAUGGUAGAGGGGGGUAGAAUUUCAGGUGUAGCGGUGAAAUGCGUAGAGAUAGGGAGGAAUACCGGUGGCGAAGGCGGCCACCUGGACUAAGACUGACGCUGAGGUGCGAAAGCGUGGGGAGCAAACA
This 427-nucleotide ribosomal RNA is filed under the name uncultured bacterium. RNAcentral's name for it is "partial 16S ribosomal RNA". It matches the Rfam family "Bacterial small subunit ribosomal RNA", at positions 355 to 774 of the family's 1533-position model. The record is from RNAcentral.